UCUACGGGGAGCAGCAGUGGGGAAUAUUGGACAAUGGGCGAAAGCCUGAUCCAGCCAUGCCGCGUGUGUGAAGAAGGCCUUCGGGUUGUAAAGCACUUUCAGUGGGGAAGAAAGCCUUGGGGCUAAUACCCUCGAGGAAGGACAUCACCCACAGAAGAAGCACCGGCUAACUCCGUGCCAGCAGCCGCGGUAAUACGGAGGGUGCGAGCGUUAAUCGGAAUUACUGGGCGUAAAGCGCGCGUAGGCGGUCUGAUAAGCCGGUUGUGAAAGCCCCGGGCUCAACCUGGGAACGGCAUCCGGAACUGUCAGGCUAGAGUGCAGGAGAGGAAGGUAGAAUUCCCGGUGUAGCGGUGAAAUGCGUAGAGAUCGGGAGGAAUACCAGUGGCGAAGGCGGCCUUCUGGACUGACACUGACGCUGAGGUGCGAAAGCGUGGGUAGCAAACAGGAUUAGAUACCCGAGUAGUC
This 465-nucleotide ribosomal RNA is filed under the name Vreelandella stevensii. RNAcentral describes it as "partial 16S ribosomal RNA". It matches the Rfam family "Bacterial small subunit ribosomal RNA", at positions 338 to 795 of the family's 1533-position model. The record is from RNAcentral. Lineage: Bacteria; Pseudomonadati; Pseudomonadota; Gammaproteobacteria; Oceanospirillales; Halomonadaceae.